CCGACCUCAGAUCGGACGAGAUUACCCGCUGAAUUUAAGCAUAUAACUAAGCGGAGGAAAAGAAACUAACAAGGAUUCCCUCAGUAACGGCGAGUGAAGCGGGAAUAGCCCAGCACCGAAUCCCUCAGUGUCAUGCUGACGGGAACUGUGGUGUGUGGGACGCCACCAGUCGCAUCAGAGGGCGCCGAAGUCCUCCUGAUCGGGGCUUCACCCAGAGCGGGUGUAAGGCCUUUGCGGGUGCCUCUCUGUGCGGCCGCGAGCGUCUCAGGAGUCGGGUUGUUUGGGAAUGCAGCCCAAAGCGGGUGGUAAACUCC
The sequence is a ribosomal RNA, 314 nucleotides long. It matches the Rfam family "Eukaryotic large subunit ribosomal RNA", at positions 1 to 307 of the family's 3401-position model.